GAUGAACGCUGGCGGCGUGCUUAACACAUGCAAGUCGAACGGUGAAGCAGGAGCUUGCUCUUGUGGAUCAGUGGCGAACGGGUGAGUAACACGUGAGCAACCUGCCCCUGACUCUGGGAUAAGCGCUGGAAACGGCGUCUAAUACUGGAUAUGUGAUGUGACCGCAUGGUCUGCAUCUGGAAAGAAUUUCGGUUGGGGAUGGGCGCGCGGCCUAUCAGCUUGUUGGUGAGGGAAUGGCUCACCAAGGAGUCGACGGGUAGCCGACCUGAGAGGGUGACCGGCCCGACUGAGACUGAGACACGGCCCAGACUCCUACUGGAGGCAGCAGUGGGGAAUAUUGCACAAUGGGCGGAAGCCUGAUGCAGCAACGCCGCGUGAGGGAUGACGGCCUUCGGGUUGUAAACCUCUUUUAGCAGGGAAGAAGCGAAGGUGACGGUACCUGCUGAAAAAGCACCGGCUAACUACGUGCCAGCCGCCGCCGUAA
Molecule: ribosomal RNA, 484 nt
Filed under: uncultured bacterium
Lineage: Bacteria
Description: partial 16S ribosomal RNA
Rfam family: Bacterial small subunit ribosomal RNA
Source: RNAcentral